This 341-nucleotide ribosomal RNA is filed under the name Scophthalmus environmental sample. Its description in RNAcentral is "partial 16S ribosomal RNA". It matches the Rfam family "Archaeal large subunit ribosomal RNA", at positions 1941 to 2483 of the family's 2987-position model. The record is from RNAcentral. Lineage: Eukaryota; Metazoa; Chordata; Actinopteri; Pleuronectiformes; Scophthalmidae.
GAGGUCCCGCCUGCCCAGUGACACCCAGUUCAACGGCCGCGGUAUUUUGACCGUGCAAAGGUAGCGUAAUCACUUGUCUCUUAAAUGGAGACCUGUAUGAAUGGCAUAACGAGGGCUUAACUGUCUCCUCUUUCGAGUCAAUGAAGUUGAUCUCCCCGUGCAGAAGCGGGGAUAUUUACAUAAGACGAGAAGACCCUAUGGAGCUUGAGACGAUAGGGCAGCCCAUGUUAAACACCCUUAUUAACGGACUAAACUAAAUGGCCCCUGCUUUAGUGUCUUCGGUUGGGGCGACCCUGGGGAAUACAAAACCCCCACGUGGAAUAGGAGCACCCCCCCCCCCU